This 307-nucleotide long non-coding RNA is filed under the name Vombatus ursinus (common wombat). RNAcentral's name for it is "lncRNA (ENSVURG00010017593.1)". The record is from RNAcentral. Lineage: Eukaryota; Metazoa; Chordata; Mammalia; Diprotodontia; Vombatidae.
GCUCGCUCCCAGUGGCGUCCGGAUGGGGGGGGGGAAGGGGGACAGGCCUUCGGACGCCGCAGUCGCCGCCGCCUCUCUCUCCUACUUCCCGGUUUCUGCAGCCUCUAGGGCAUCUGGCAUAAGUGUAAAGCCAUAUCAUAAACUGCAGAAGAAAGAUUGACCUUUGGACAUUGGUGAUGAAACUCUAAGGACUCAUUUGAGCUGCUAAAGGCAUAUAUAAAUGAAGAAAAAUUUACAACUACACAAGAUUUAAGUGUCCUUCCUUCACCACGGGUCAUUAAAGUACCUUCUAGAACAGAUCCUUUGG